Molecule: ribosomal RNA, 837 nt
Filed under: Clitocybe cerussata
Lineage: Eukaryota; Fungi; Basidiomycota; Agaricomycetes; Agaricales; Clitocybaceae
Description: eukaryotic LSU rRNA
Rfam family: Eukaryotic large subunit ribosomal RNA
Source: RNAcentral
CCUAGUAACUGCGAGUGAAGCGGGAAAAGCUCAAAUUUAAAAUCUGGCGGUCCUUGUGGCUGUCCGAGUUGUAAUCUAGAGAAGUGCUAUCCGCGCUGGACCGUGUACAAGUCUCCUGGAACGGAGCGUCAUAGAGGGUGAGAAUCCCGUCUUUGACACGGACUACCAGGGCUUUGUGAUGUGCUCUCAAAGAGUCGAGUUGUUUGGGAAUGCAGCUCUAAAUGGGUGGUAAAUUCCAUCUAAAGCUAAAUAUUGGCGAGAGACCGAUAGCGAACAAGUACCGUGAGGGAAAGAUGAAAAGAACUUUGGAAAGAGAGUUAAACAGUACGUGAAAUUGUUGAAAGGGAAACGCUUGAAGUCAGUCGCGUUGUCCGGGGAUCAACCUUGCUCUUUUGCUUGGCGUACUUCCCGGUUAACGGGUCAGCAUCAAUUUUGACCGGUGGAUAAAGGUCAGGGGAAUGUGGCAUCUUCGGAUGUGUUAUAGCCCUUGGUUGCAUACAUCGGUUGGGAUUGAGGAACUCAGCACGCCGCAAGGCCGGGUCUUUGACCACGUACGUGCUUAGGAUGCUGGCAUAAUGGCUUUAAUCGACCCGUCUUGAAACACGGACCAAGGAGUCUAACAUGCCCGCGAGUGUUUGGGUGGAAAACCCGGACGCGUAAUGAAAGUGAAAGUUGAGAUCCCUGUCGUGGGGAGCAUCGACGCCCGGACCAGACCUUUUGUGACGGUUCCGCGGUAGAGCGUGUAUGUUGGGACCCGAAAGAUGGUGAACUAUGCCUGAAUAGGGUGAAGCCAGAGGAAACUCUGGUGGAGGCUCGUAGCGAUUCUGACGUGCAAAU